RNAcentral lists this ribosomal RNA (350 nucleotides) under Podagrica sp. BMNH 848524. RNAcentral's name for it is "eukaryotic LSU rRNA". Lineage: Eukaryota; Metazoa; Arthropoda; Insecta; Coleoptera; Chrysomelidae. The record is from RNAcentral.
UUCGCGUUUCAGCCGUCGGAGCAGAGCGACCGUGUGACGAACAAAGUCCGCUUUGUUUGCACCUUUCGUUCUGCUCACCGACGUUGAACGCGUGCACUUUUCCCCUAGUAGGACGUCGCGAUCCGUUGAGUGUCUGUCUAAGACUCGGGGUGGAGCCCACGUGACAUUUUGUCAUGUGGACCCUCGGUGUUCCGACAGACUCGCUCGACGGUAUGUUAAUGGCGCGGGGCCGCUACUCAGUUAGCGUUCGGCUCGUAGCAAGCACGUUCUGCGUUUUGAUGGCGAUCGGACCUGGUGCCGAUUCUGUCCCGGAACGACUGUUGGUUACGAUGUUCUCGAACAGACCUCGU